This 80-nucleotide transfer RNA is filed under the name Salmonella enterica subsp. enterica serovar Blegdam. RNAcentral's name for it is "tRNA-Gln". Lineage: Bacteria; Pseudomonadati; Pseudomonadota; Gammaproteobacteria; Enterobacterales; Enterobacteriaceae. The record is from RNAcentral.
UGGGGUAAUCGGUCCCAAGCGGUAAGGCACCGGAUUCUGAAUUCCGGCAUUCCGAGGUUCGAAUCCUCGUACCCCAGCCA